CCUACGGGAGGCAGCAGUGGGGAAUAUUGCACAAUGGGGGAAACCCUGAUGCAGCGACGCCGCGUGAGUGAAGAAGUAUUUCGGUAUGUAAAGCUCUAUCAGCCGGGAAGAAAUAUCGACCUUUGGGUCGCCAGACGGUACCUGAUUAAGAAGCCCCGGCUAACUACGUGCCAGCAGCCGCGGUAAUACGUAGGGGGCAAGCGUUAUCCGGAUUUACUGGGGGUAAAGGGAGCGUAGCCGGCAGCGCAAGUCUCAAGUGAAAUGCCGGGGCUUAACCCCGGAACUGCGUUGGAAACUGUGCAGCUAGAGUGCAGGAGAGGUAAGUGGAAUUCCUAGUGUAGCGGUGAAAUGCGUAGAUAUUA
Molecule: ribosomal RNA, 362 nt
Filed under: uncultured bacterium
Lineage: Bacteria
Description: partial 16S ribosomal RNA
Rfam family: Bacterial small subunit ribosomal RNA
Source: RNAcentral